RNAcentral lists this ribosomal RNA (393 nucleotides) under uncultured bacterium. RNAcentral describes it as "bacterial SSU rRNA". It matches the Rfam family "Bacterial small subunit ribosomal RNA", at positions 28 to 420 of the family's 1533-position model. The record is from RNAcentral.
GACGAACGCUGGCGGCGUGCUUAACACAUGCAAGUCGAGCGGUAAGGCCCUUUCGGGGGUACGACGAGCGGCGAACGGGUGAGUAACACGUGGGUGACCUGCCCUCAGCUCUGGGAUAAGCCCGGGAAACUGGGUCUAAUACCGGAUAUGACUCCAUGACGCAUGUUGUGGGGUGGAAAGCCUUGUGCGGCUGAGGAUGGGCCCGCGGCCUAUCAGCUUGUUGGUGGGGUGAUGGCCUACCAAGGCGACGACGGGUAGCCGGCCUGAGAGGGCGACCGGCCACACUGGGACUGAGAUACGGCCCAGACUCCUACGGGAGGCAGCAGGUGGGGAAUCUUGCGCAAUGGGCGAAAGCCUGACGCAGCGACGCCGCGUGAGGGAUGACGGCCUGGU